GAUCGCGUGGCACCCGAGCGGGCGUCCUAAGGCGCUGGAUUUAGGCUCCGGUGAGGCGUGGGUUCGAAUCCCUCCGCUGUCA
Non-coding RNA from Merluccius polli (Benguela hake), 82 nucleotides. Lineage: Eukaryota; Metazoa; Chordata; Actinopteri; Gadiformes; Merlucciidae. The record is from the annotation of a GenBank genome assembly.